This 500-nucleotide ribosomal RNA is filed under the name Vibrio tubiashii. RNAcentral describes it as "bacterial SSU rRNA". It matches the Rfam family "Bacterial small subunit ribosomal RNA", at positions 99 to 595 of the family's 1533-position model. Lineage: Bacteria; Pseudomonadati; Pseudomonadota; Gammaproteobacteria; Vibrionales; Vibrionaceae. The record is from RNAcentral.
CGGACGGGUGAGUAAUGCCUGGGAAAUUGCCCUGAUGUGGGGGAUAACCAUUGGAAACGAUGGCUAAUACCGCAUAAUAGCUUCGGCUCAAAGAGGGGGACCUUCGGGCCUCUCGCGUCAGGAUAUGCCCAGGUGGGAUUAGCUAGUUGGUGAGGUAAUGGCUCACCAAGGCGACGAUCCCUAGCUGGUCUGAGAGGAUGAUCAGCCACACUGGAACUGAGACACGGUCCAGACUCCUACGGGAGGCAGCAGUGGGGAAUAUUGCACAAUGGGCGCAAGCCUGAUGCAGCCAUGCCGCGUGUAUGAAGAAGGCCUUCGGGUUGUAAAGUACUUUCAGCAGUGAGGAAGGUGGUAGUGUUAAUAGCACUAUCAUUUGACGUUAGCUGCAGAAGAAGCACCGGCUAACUCCGUGCCAGCAGCCGCGGUAAUACGGAGGGUGCGAGCGUUAAUCGGAAUUACUGGGCGUAAAGCGCAUGCAGGUGGUUUGUUAAGUCAGAUGU